AGCGGCGGACGGGUGAGUAAUGCUUAGGAAUCUGCCUAUUAGUGGGGGACAACAUCUCGAAAGGGAUGCUAAUACCGCAUACGUCCUACGGGAGAAAGCAGGGGAUCUUCGGACCUUGCGCUAAUAGAUGAGCCUAAGUCGGAUUAGCUAGUUGGUGGGGUAAAGGCCUACCAAGGCGACGAUCUGUAGCGGGUCUGAGAGGAUGAUCCGCCACACUGGGACUGAGACACGGCCCAGACUCCUACGGGAGGCAGCAGUGGGGAAUAUUGGACAAUGGGGGGAACCCUGAUCCAGCCAUGCCGCGUGUGUGAAGAAGGCCUUAUGGUUGUAAAGCACUUUAAGCGAGGAGGAGGCUACUUUAGUUAAUACCUAGAGAUAGUGGACGUUACUCGCAGAAUAAGCACCGGCUAACUCUGUGCCAGCAGCCGCGGUAAUACAGAGGGUGCGAGCGUUAAUCGGAUUUACUGGGCGUAAAGCGUGCGUAGGCGGCUUAUUAAGUCGGAUGUGAAAUCCCCGAGCUUAACUUGGGAAUUGCAUUCGAUACUGGUGAGCUAGAGUAUGGGAGAGGAUGGUAGAAUUCCAGGUGUAGCGGUGAAAUGCGUAGAGAUCUGGAGGAAUACCGAUGGCGAAGGCAGCCAUCUGGCCUAAUACUGACGCUGAGGUACGAAAGCAUGGGGAGCAAACAGGAUUAGAUACCCUGGUAGUCCAUGCCGUAAACGAUGUCUACUAGCCGUUGGGGCCUUUGAGGCUUUAGUGGCGCAGCUAACGCGAUAAGUAGACCGCCUGGGGAGUACGGUCGCAAGACUAAAACUCAAAUGAAUUGACGGGGGCCCGCACAAGCGGUGGAGCAUGUGGUUUAAUUCGAUGCAACGCGAAGAACCUUACCUGGCCUUGACAUACUAGAAACUUUCCAGAGAUGGAU
This 922-nucleotide ribosomal RNA is filed under the name Acinetobacter baumannii. RNAcentral's name for it is "bacterial SSU rRNA". It matches the Rfam family "Bacterial small subunit ribosomal RNA", at positions 94 to 1011 of the family's 1533-position model. Lineage: Bacteria; Pseudomonadati; Pseudomonadota; Gammaproteobacteria; Moraxellales; Moraxellaceae. The record is from RNAcentral.